CCUACGGGAGGCAGCAGUGGGGAAUUUUGGACAAUGGGCGAAAGCCUGAUCCAGCAAUGCCGCGUGAGUGAAGAAGGCCUUCGGGUUGUAAAGCUCUUUUGUCAGGGAAGAAACGGUGAGAGCUAAUAUCUCUUGCUAAUGACGGUACCUGAAGAAUAAGCACCGGCUAACUACGUGCCAGCAGCCGCGGUAAUACGUAGGGUGCAAGCGUUAAUCGGAAUUACUGGGCGUAAAGCGUGCGCAGGCGGUUUUGUAAGUCUGAUGUGAAAUCCCCGGGCUCAACCUGGGAAUUGCAUUGGAGACUGCAAGGCUAGAAUCUGGCAGAGGGGGGUAGAAUUCCACGUGUAGCAGUGAAAUGCGUAGAUAUGUGGAGGAACACCGAUGGCGAAGGCAGCCCCCUGGGUCAAGAUUGACGCUCAUGCACGAAAGCGUGGGGAGCAAACAGGUAUUAGAUACCCUGGUAGUCCACGCCCUAAACGAUGUCUACUAGUUGUCGGGUCUUAAUUGACUUGGUAACGCAGCUAACGCGUGAAGUAGACCGCCUGGGGAGUACGGUCGCAAGAUUAAAACGUCAAAUGAAUUGACCCGGNGUAGAGACGNGCGACGGACGACGACGAGGGAGGAGG
RNAcentral lists this ribosomal RNA (626 nucleotides) under uncultured bacterium. Its description in RNAcentral is "bacterial SSU rRNA". It matches the Rfam family "Bacterial small subunit ribosomal RNA", at positions 338 to 954 of the family's 1533-position model. The record is from RNAcentral.